AGUAAUAGCAUGUAGCUGCCCAUCCAGAGACUACAUUUCCCAGUCUCCUUUGCAUCCAAUGUGGCCAUGUGACUAGCUUCUCUCCAAAGAAAUGAGCGAUUUCGGGAUAAAACUGUAAAGACAUUGCUGAAAAAUACCAGUAUCAAAUAUUAACAAAAUUCCUAAUCUGUUCUGCAAAUGUGUUCACCUUUGCUUCAUGGGAAGGGGUCUCCAGUUCUCCCCGGAGUGCCUACAUGGACCUCACUAGUCUUGGCAUCACCCCGUACGGCCUCGGAGACACAAGCUCACUCCAUCUUCUCUCGGGGGCUCGGCAGUGCCCCUGUGAUCUUAAUGGCUCCAGCUCAGACUCGCCUAUUUCUCUUUCUCAUCACUGAAGGCAGUGUUUGGAUGCUGGAGUCCCUGGGCUUCGGAGUCCCAGGCAAGCCACUGCUUCGCCCACAGAGGAGGGAGGCCGUGGACUCAUGGCUCAGUGAAUUUUCACCAGACAACGCGCCUUGAGACCAGUGAAAUCUUUCUGUGCCCCACUGAGGCCCUUCCCGCCUCUCUACAUUGUAAUCUCAUUUUUGCUUACCUGGUGGGAUCCGAAGAGGACUCCGGACAACACAUCCGGCGCCCUGAAGCUCCUCCUCCGCCAGGAGCGGGAGCCGCAGCAGAAGACCAUUCAAUGAGGUCCUGAGAACAGGAGUCUUAUGGGUUUGACCUGGGUCUUGCCCACGUCCCUUCCCCAGGCCUCCCCAAGCCAGCCACUUUCACUGAGGCGGCAGUCCCCGCCGCCAUUUUUUAAAGGAGUCGCAGCCUUUCCGGAGCCAGGCGCCAGUCGACUAGCCAAUGCGCAUGCGUGAGGCGUUAUUCCUGAGGUCAUAGAGACGGCCACAGUUGCCCGGGGAUAGGUUCCUGAGACUGGGCAAAGGAGGAGCCCUGUGUAUCGGUGCGUCAGGUGGGGGCUCAGACCACUCCUCGCCAGGACGUCACAGUAUAGUCUCUGAAGGCCAGAAUUCGCGGAGGGUCGACCAGGAGUUUGAAAGCUGAGGCCGAUCUCCGGGGAAGCAGCGCAGAAUCCCAGCCUCAGGCCUGCACUGUCGGAAUACAGGUGAGUCUCCCCAAAUGUCGUGCCCUUGUCAUCUCGAGGACAUGUCUGCCUGUGUGCCUGUGGGCUGCUCU
RNAcentral lists this long non-coding RNA (1161 nucleotides) under Callithrix jacchus (white-tufted-ear marmoset). Its description in RNAcentral is "lncRNA (ENSCJAG00000071554.1)". The record is from RNAcentral. Lineage: Eukaryota; Metazoa; Chordata; Mammalia; Primates; Cebidae.